GGGCUGGGGCUCAGUGGCAGAGUGCCUGUCUCGCACAUGUGAGGCACUGGGUUCAAUCCUCAGCACCACA
Molecule: transfer RNA, 70 nt
Filed under: Marmota monax (woodchuck)
Lineage: Eukaryota; Metazoa; Chordata; Mammalia; Rodentia; Sciuridae
Description: tRNA.Ala
Source: RNAcentral